Lacerta agilis (Sand lizard) is the source of this 241-nucleotide long non-coding RNA. RefSeq lists it as uncharacterized. The transcript is spliced from 3 exons. NCBI's taxonomy places the organism in Eukaryota, Metazoa, Chordata, Lepidosauria, Squamata, Lacertidae. The record is from RefSeq and is a predicted model, not a curated record.
GGAAACCUAGAGUGCGGCAGCUGCAUCUGUGGUGUUGGAGAGGAGUGGAACGGAGCAGGUUGCCAAGUGUGUCCUGAAGGGAAGUUUAAGUCCUCGAUAACUGGUAAAUGCCAAAACUGGACACAGUGUCCAGCUAAUCAGAUCUCAAUUCCUGGGACGGCGAAAACUGAUGUGGUUUGCAACACGACAACAGAAGGCCCUACACAACUCCCGACUUGGACAGUUUUAACUAAGGAGGCAG